Molecule: ribosomal RNA, 111 nt
Filed under: Caerostris darwini
Lineage: Eukaryota; Metazoa; Arthropoda; Arachnida; Araneae; Araneidae
Source: RNAcentral
ACGGCCAUACCAUGCUGAAUAUACCGGUUCUCGUUAGAUCACCGAAGUCAAGCAUCAUUGGGCGCGGUCAGUACUUUGGUGGGUGACCACCUGGGAACACCGUGUGCCGUU